This 406-nucleotide ribosomal RNA is filed under the name uncultured bacterium. RNAcentral describes it as "partial 16S ribosomal RNA". It matches the Rfam family "Bacterial small subunit ribosomal RNA", at positions 30 to 526 of the family's 1533-position model. The record is from RNAcentral.
AUUGAACGCUGGCGGCAGGCCUAACACAUGCCAGUCGCACGAGUGGCGGACGGGAGACUAAUGUCUGGGAAACUGCCUGAUGGAUGGGUAUAACAUCGGGAAACGGUAGCUAAUACCGCAUUCCAUCAGAUGUUCCCAGAUUGGAUUAGCUUUUUGGUGGGGUAACGGCUCACCAAGGCGACGAUACAUAGCUGGUCUGAGAGGAUGACCAGUCACACGGGAACUGAGACACGGGCCAGACUCCGAUGGGGGGCAGCAGUGGGGAAUAUUGGACAAUGGGCGAAAGCCUGAUGCAGCCAUGCAGCGUGUAUGAAGAAGGCCGUCGGUUUGUAAAGUACUGUCAGCGGUGAGGCGUUACCCGCAGAAGAAGCACCGGCUAACUCCGUGCCAGCAGCCGCGGUAAUAC